RNA transcript from Panicum virgatum (switchgrass), 4991 nucleotides. It is a transcript of the gene named pentatricopeptide repeat-containing protein At1g05670, mitochondrial-like, with no coding region annotated. The transcript has 5 exons. The record is from RefSeq and is a predicted model, not a curated record. NCBI's taxonomy places the organism in Eukaryota, Viridiplantae, Streptophyta, Magnoliopsida, Poales, Poaceae.
CGUGUAUCCUCGCUACUCCGCUUUGCUCCUAGCCCAAGUAAGUCGCUCACUCAUCCCUCAGCCCACGCACGCGCCGCCAUACUCCGCUCUUCCGUCUCCAGACCUGGCGACCCGCCGCACCGUUGGCCGCCGACCGUCGGCGCCAGCCACCGCCGCCUGCGAGGCUGUGCCUCCACCCCACGCCGCGUGGUCUCCCUCCCUCGACCCUCGACUCCUUCGUCUCGCCGGGCGUCGGCCCCUGCUUGGGCGCUGGCUGGGCGCACCGCUCGUCCGGUCCCGCCGCCCGUCGGGGCCCCGCGGCAUCACGCGGUCGCGCCCCUCCACUGCUGCACGCUAGCCUGCAGCCGCCUCCCGCCUGGCCGCGGGCCACCCCAACGUGUCCGCGCUCGUGUUUGGUAGUUGGUACUGCUGGACUACCCUAGUUUUAAUUCCUGGGUCCGCCGCUGGGUAGAGAGCAGCGCGCCACAUCGUCGCCUGUGUCUCUCGCAGCCAGGGGCGGGAGGGGAGCAGGAGCCUGGGGGCUGCAGCGGAGCGCCGGAGCAGGUCCCACCGUGGGACGUGCGGCAGCUCUAAGGAGAAUACUGGAGCCGCUACCACCACGACCACCUCGCCUUCGUGCCAAUCCGUGACGCCGUCGAGCCCUUCGCCUACUGCCUCUCUGACCUCUUCAUCGACUUUUAAGGGGCUCGGCUAACAGGAGCAUUUGAUGUAAUCUGGAAGCUGCGACGUAUUAUCUCUCAGCUGGUUCUCUCCAUCUAAUUAUCAAGUAAUAUUUCUCCAUGAAGUGUAGUUUAUGCACAGCUCAUUCCUGCUUCUGCUGUUUCUGUAAAUGUAAGGAGGGGUCGGCUUCCCUCGUCUAUGCGCCGGGCAGUCCAAUGGUUCCUGCGGCGAGCCCUUGCAAUCAGGAGCUACCCCCCAGUGUUGCGUCUUUCCUCUCAGGCUUGUUGCCUGAACAGCUCGGAUAAUGAGGAGCCCAUUCGGAGUUCUGCUUAUGUUGAUUAUAGAAGCCAGUGUCUGCUUCCCUCGAUCACGCUAGCAGUGCGGACUUCAAACUGGGAUGCUGCCAGAAAUAUAAGCUUCUGGGAGUGUGUGACGUUGUACGGGCUAUCUCAAUCAAUUGGUCUGUUUGCAUUGCUUGUGCAGUUGUUCUUGCCAAGGAGAAUCAGAGAAAUCCGGUGCUUGAUUCAGAGCAUUGUUGAUUAUUGUGGAAAUGCUGGACAGGAGUUGUUUGAGUUGGCUCCUAUGCUGGUCAGUAAAUUGGGUGGGUCAAUGACGCUGUUACAAGUUUAUGCUGCUGUCAUCCGGAUUUUUGUAGAGUUGUCGAUGUUUGAGGAUGCUCUUCUCACUUACAUUGAGGCCAAAAAGGUUGGUGUUGAGCUACGUCUGGGCAACUUCUUGCUGAAGUGUUUAGCCCAGGGGAAUCAGAUCAUGUAUGCCAGGAGUUUAUUUGCUGACAUGAAAAGUUCCGGUCCUUCACCAAAUGUUUACUCUUAUUCAGUUUUGAUGAGUAUGUAUACACACGGAGAGAGGUUAUGCUUAGAGGAAGCUUUUGAGCUUCUUCGUGAAAUGGAAAUGAAUGGUGUGAGACCGAAUGCUGCAACCUAUGGAACUUACCUCUAUGGGCUUUGCCGUUCCAGACAGGUAACAUCUGCAUGGGACUUUCUCCAAGGUCUUUGUCAGAGAGGGUGCCCUUGCAACACUUAUUGUUUUAAUGCCGUGAUUCAUGGUUUCUGUAGUGAGGGUCAGGUUCACAAAGCCGUAGAAGUGUUUAAUGGGAUGAAGAAAUGUGGAUUUCUACCGGAUGCCCACAGCUAUAGCAUAUUAAUUGACGGGUUUUGCAAACAAGGGGAACUAUUGAAAGGUUAUGACAUGCUUGAUGAAAUGGCAAGAAACGGAAUCAGUCCUAACCAUGUAAGUUAUAGUUCACUUUUGCAUGGUCUUUGCAAGACUGGAAAUGUUAAACUUGCACUUGGGAUUUUCAAGAGGCUUAAAGGCCAAGGUUUCAAGCAUGACCAGAUAAUGUACAGCAUCCUUUUCAAUGGCUGUUGCCAACAUUUAGAUCUAGAUAUCGUCAAUGAUCUUUGGGACGUCAUGAUUCAUCAUGAUUUUGUUCCAGAUGUUUAUGAUUAUACCAAUCUGAUCUAUGCAUUAUGUAGACAUAGAUACCUUAUAGAAGCAUUGGAAGCAUUUGAACUCAUGCUUGAGAAUGGGGUAACUCCCAACAUUGUGACAUGCACAAUCCUAGCUGAUAGCUUUAGCAAAGAAGGGCUGAUAGGUGAGGCCUUCCUAUUUCUUAAUAAAGUACAUCAGUCGCUGGGAAUUGCUCCCAACCUUUUCACAUACAAAGUUAUUAUCAAAGGCCUUUGCGAGAUCAACAAAUCGGACAACGUUUGGGAAUUUUUUGCAGACAUGAUAAAAAGGGGAUAUGUUCCUGAUGCUGUCUUCUACAGUAUUAUUAUUGAUGGUUUUGUGAAGGCUUUGGAGUUGCAGGAGGCAUUCAGGCUGUAUCAUAAAAUGUUGGAUGAAGGGAUAAAACCUACUAUUUUUACAUAUACUAGCCUCCUAAAUGGGCUGUGCCAUGAUGAUGGACUUCCUGGAUUUAGGAAAUUGAUGAGGGAUAUGAUUGGGGAGGAACUGAUACUUGACAAGAUUUUGUGCACAUCUAUUAUUGCAUGCUAUUGUCGACGUUCGAAUAUGAAGGCUGCCAUGGAAAUGUACAGAAAAAUGGAAAGCUCUGGUUUAUCACCAGAUGCUUUUGUAUAUACUUGUCUAAUUAGUGGUUUCAGUAAAGUUCGUGUGAUGGAUGGUGCACUCUUGAUGAUGGAAGAAAUGGAAAAAAGGAAUAUUAAACCUACUGUAGUAACCUAUACAGCACUCAUAGUUGGAUAUCUGAAAACAGAGGAUGAGAAACAAGCUAUUAAAACGUGCAUAAAUAUGCAUCAGGCAGGCAUUGUUCCAGAUGGCAAGCUGAGUUGUAUAUUGGGCCUUGGCAAUGGCAGGGAUGAUUCUGAUUAUUAUUCUCAGAAAGCAAAGGAUAUAACAUAGAUUUUCAAAUAGAGCUUUAUUAACUUAUCAAGGGGCUGCUGUGUGAUGGUGAUGAGCUUGCCUAGUGUGGAAAAAUGUUGGCUACACUCUUUUCCUCCACUUCCACACUGCUGUCGGAUGAACAAGGAACAGGAAUGAAGUAACCUGAAAGUGACAGUUUAAUCCAUGGACAACACCUGGAGGGGUGCGAUCAUUACAGCUUAGGCCUUUGAGAAGCAUCAAGCAUGGUUGUUACUCCAUUUUUCCGGCCUAUUGAUUUGGACUAAAAAGGGCGUACCCAGUGCCGUAGGCUUCCCGCACUGUGCGGGGUCUAGGGAAGGGUUGUUUUUAAGCCCCAAACCUUACCCACACAAAUGGUUGUUUUUAGGCCUAUUGAUUUGGACUGCAGAGCAAAUACCAACAGCAGUCUACGGUUGAGUUAUCUGCUUCCUAGACUGACCAUCAAUCAAUCUGGAAGGUACAGAAGCUCCCUCGACAUAUACCACUAAAGGUACAGGUUUCUGCUGGAGACUGCUGCAUGGUUUACUGCUAAUUCGGACAUUUUACAUAUGUGGCAUAUAGAGAUCCUGGGAGCUGCGUGACCUGUGGAACAUAAGGGGAUACAUCUACAAUGCUUUUGUUAGGAGUAAUUACGCCAAAUUGUUUUUGAAGGAGCUGUACACAUACUAAGGUGCAGAAUUUCCCCAUCUACAGCCAAGAUCUUGCUUGAAAGAUAUCCCGGAUGAUAAUUAUUGUUCGGUGCAGAUGUGAGCUGUGUUCCUUCAGAAUGUGGGCAAUCUGCACUGCCAGAAAUGAAAAUAAAGCAUGGCAUGAAGGAGUGUAAGCUGCUGUCAGAUGGGUUUGGGAGGCAGCUGCAGACUCUCUGAGGAUGGCAGCUAUGCCAAUCGAAAAUAAGAAGCAAGAAGUAGAAGUGCAGUGGGGACCACCAAAGAUAGUAGGGGGGUGAAAGUAAACACAGAUGGGACAUUUUCUUUCACCAGCUCAUACACAGGGGCGAAGAAUGUCAUUAUUUGAGAGUGAAGAAGAGGCUAACUCAUGCUCGCAUGAUAAUGCCCUGAUGUGUGAUGUGCUAAGGGCAGUGAUGCUCACUUGCAGGAAUGUAUUGCAAGGUGCAGAAUUAGGUGAAUCUGAAUACUGGUGAGGAAGUGGCAUGAACAAGAAAUAAAUAAAUCAGAAAUCAGCAUCAUCCUGGAAGAAAUUGAGAUAACCUGGUGUUUUUAUUAUUUCAAGAUUUACUUUGUGAACUCCUUCAAAUAACAUGGUGUGUUCUUGUGCUCAAUAGACAUCGUCAAGGUCCUCAGCUCUGUGUUUGAUAACCAUCUUUGUAUUCCCCCAUGUAAUCUGUUUAAUGCUAUACGAUAAAAGCUGAGCUGGGCCUGUUUCUAAAAGAGAGAAUAUUGAAGUCAAGCUUGUGCAUGAUCUUGCUUCGGGAAUAUAUAAUAUAUUGAUUAUGUGAUACACACAGAAAUUGGGAUGCUGAUUGUUCCGCCUGUUUCUUUGCCCUGUAUGAAACUCCAUUUUGGUGUUUAAAUAUGAACAGUGCAUUUUGAAGUGCGAAUUUUAAGACUCGCAUUCACAUUGUAGAUUAGGAAUACAAGUACCAAGGAUUACCGGUAUCUUGUAGAAAACCAAAAGUUUGAAUUAAGCUGACACUUGAGGCAUAUAGAUUUGCAGAACAUUUUGUCGGUUUCUUUGGAGAGUAGGAUGGAGCAUUGGACUGCAAAAAUGAAAGUAGAGAUAAGUCUUAAAACUAGUUGAGAAAUCAGUUGGUGUAGGGUUUAACCACGUGGCGUCAUAUCCUAUAAUAUAUUGAUGAAAGAUGGUCAUGAAGCAACCAUUGCAAGAAGUGGUCGGGAUCCAUGUGGUAUUGGGAUUGGCCAGCCAUGAACCAACAUAUUGAUCAUAGGAAUGACUCCUCAGACUGUUGGCAGAUGCAGUGCAGGCAU